UGGGUAGUAUCCAUUGGAACUGCACCUUGCUUUAAAUGUUAUUAAUUUCAUAGUAUUCUGCCUUGAUCCGUUAUGGACGGGGACGGAGGG
This is a regulatory RNA element of 90 nucleotides. It matches the Rfam family "pan motif". The record is from Rfam.